RNAcentral lists this ribosomal RNA (388 nucleotides) under Stramenopiles sp. MAST-7A. RNAcentral describes it as "partial small subunit ribosomal RNA". It matches the Rfam family "Eukaryotic small subunit ribosomal RNA", at positions 582 to 975 of the family's 1831-position model. The record is from RNAcentral.
AUUCCAGCUCCAAUAGCGUAUAUUAAAGUUGUUGCAGUUAAAAAGCUCGUAGUUGGAUUUCUGGUGGGAGCACGGGUCGGCCUUCACGGGUUGUACUGUUGUUGCGUCCCGCCGUUUCGGAGGGAAUGGUCUCGCUAUUAAGUUAGCGUGAUCGGGAACUCUGUCGUUUACUGUGAAAAAAUUAGAGUGUUCAAAGCAGGCCUUCGCUGUGAAUACAUUAGCAUGGAAUAAUAAGAUAGGACUGUAGUGCUAUUUUGUUGGUUUGCGUACUAUGGUAAUGAUUAAUAGGGAUAGUUGGGGGUAUUCAUAUUCAAUUGUCAGAGGUGAAAUUCUUGGAUUUAUGGAAGAUGAACUACUGCGAAAGCAUUUACCAAGGAUGUUUUCAUCA